This 507-nucleotide ribosomal RNA is filed under the name uncultured bacterium. RNAcentral's name for it is "partial 16S ribosomal RNA". It matches the Rfam family "Bacterial small subunit ribosomal RNA", at positions 28 to 507 of the family's 1533-position model. The record is from RNAcentral.
GACGAACGCUGGCGGCGUGCCUAAUACAUGCAAGUCGAACGCAUUUUCUCUCACCGUUGCUUGCUACACCGAAAGAAAACGAGUGGCUAACGGGUGAGUAACACGUGGGUAACCUGCUCAUCAGCGGCGGAUAAAACGUGGAACCAGGUCCUAAUACCGUAUAACUCCAUUUUCCGCAUGGUAGAUGGGUUAAUGGCUCUUUUGCGUAUCUGCUCGCUGGACCCGAGGUGCAUUAGCUAGUUGGUGGGGUCCCGGCCUGCCAAGGCUGCGAUGCAUAGCCGGCCUGAGUGGGAGGGCGGACGCACAGAGAGUGAGACACGGCCCAGACUGCUACGGGAGGGAGCAGUAGGGAAGCUUCGGCGAUCGACGGGAGUCUGACCGAGCAAGGCCGGGUGAGUGAAGGAGGUUUUCGGAUCGUAAAACUCUGUUGUUAGAGAGGGACGAGGAUGAGAGUGGAAAGUUCAUCCCUUGACGGUAGCUAACCAGAAAGCCACGGCUAACUACGUG